RNAcentral lists this ribosomal RNA (725 nucleotides) under uncultured bacterium. Its description in RNAcentral is "bacterial SSU rRNA". It matches the Rfam family "Bacterial small subunit ribosomal RNA", at positions 59 to 781 of the family's 1533-position model. The record is from RNAcentral.
CAGUCGAACGAAGCACUCUAUUUGAUUUUCUUCGGAAAUGAAGAUUUUGUGACUGAGUGGCGGACGGGUGAGUAACGCGUGGGUAACCUGCCUCAUACAGGGGGAUAACAGUUGGAAACGACUGCUAAUACCGCAUAAGCGCACAGGAUCGCAUGAUCCGGUGUGAAAAACUCCGGUGGUAUGAGAUGGACCCGCGUCUGAUUAGCCAGUUGGCAGGGUAACGGCCUACCAAAGCGACGAUCAGUAGCCGACCUGAGAGGGUGACCGGCCACAUUGGGACUGAGACACGGCCCAAACUCCUACGGGAGGCAGCAGUGGGGAAUAUUGCACAAUGGGGGAAACCCUGAUGCAGCGACGCCGCGUGAGCGAAGAAGUAUUUCGGUAUGUAAAGCUCUAUCAGCAGGGAAGAAGAAUGACGGUACCUGACUAAGAAGCACCGGCUAAAUACGUGCCAGCAGCCGCGGUAACACGUAUGGUGCAAGCGUUAUCCGGAUUUACUGGGUGUAAAGGGAGCGCAGGCGGUGCGGCAAGUCUGAUGUGAAAGCCCGGGGCUCAACCCCGGUACUGCAUUGGAAACUGUCGUACUAGAGUGUCGGAGGGGUAAGUGGAAUUCCUAGUGUAGCGGUGAAAUGCGUAGAUAUUAGGAGGAACACCAGUGGCGAAGGCGGCUUACUGGACGAUAACUGACGCUGAGGCUCGAAAGCGUGGGGAGCAAACAGGAUUAG